GAUGAACGCUGGCGGCGUGCCUAAUACAUGCAAGUCGAGCGAACAGACGAGGAGCUUGCUCCUCUGACGUUAGCGGCGGACGGGUGAGUAACACGUGGAUAACCUACCUAUAAGACUGGGAUAACUUCGGGAAACCGGAGCUAAUACCGGAUAAUAUAUUGAACCGCAUGGUUCAAUAGUGAAAGACGGUUUUGCUGUCACUUAUAGAUGGAUCCGCGCCGCAUUAGCUAGUUGGUAAGGUAACGGCUUACCAAGGCAACGAUGCGUAGCCGACCUGAGAGGGUGAUCGGCCACACUGGAACUGAGACACGGUCCAGACGCCUACGGGAGGCAGCAGUAGGGAAUCUUCCGCAAUGGUCGAAAGCCUGACGGAGCAACGCCGCGUGAGUGAUGAAGGUCUUCGGAUCGUAAAACUCGGUUAUUAGGGAAGAACAAAUGUGUAAGUAACUAUGCACGUCUUGACGGUACCUAAUCAGAAAGCCACGGCUAACUACGUG
RNAcentral lists this ribosomal RNA (497 nucleotides) under uncultured bacterium. RNAcentral describes it as "partial 16S ribosomal RNA". It matches the Rfam family "Bacterial small subunit ribosomal RNA", at positions 28 to 507 of the family's 1533-position model. The record is from RNAcentral.